This is a long non-coding RNA of Prionailurus viverrinus (fishing cat), 333 nucleotides long. RefSeq lists it as uncharacterized. The record is from RefSeq and is a predicted model, not a curated record. The transcript is spliced from 3 exons. Lineage: Eukaryota; Metazoa; Chordata; Mammalia; Carnivora; Felidae.
AACAGUCUUCCACUCUCCUGAAGCUUCCACCUCAGUAUUUGAAGAUUCCAAGGACUAAGGACUUCAAAAAAAAAAUCUCUAUUGCACGCACAUCCUGAUUCCAUCAGGACACAACAUUACAUUUAGAUGCCAGGUCUCCACAAUCCUUUUGCUUUGAUAAUUUUCUUAUGAUUGGACCAGGAUUAUGUGUUUUUGGAGAAAUGCCAAAGAGGGGGAGAGCAAAACCUUGGAGAAGACAACUCCCAUUGGCAAAGGCAGUGCCCCUAGAAGAACACAGCUGAAUGCCCUGCCCUCAUCACUGUUACUGUUCAGUGUGAAAGAGAACAUCCUGAC